ACGGGAGGCAGCAGUGGGGAAUAUUGGACAAUGGGGGAAACCCUGAUCCAGCGACGCCGCGUGAGUGAAGAAGUAUUUCGGUACGUAAAGCUCUAUCAGCAAGGAAGAAAAUGACGGUACUUGACUAAGAAGCCCCGGCUAACUACGUGCCAGCAGCCGCGGUAAUACGUAGGGGGCAAGCGUUAUCCGGAUUUACUGGGUGUAAAGGGAGCGUAGACGGUAAGGCAAGUCUGAAGUGAAAUGCAUGGGCUCAACCCAUGAACUGCUUUGGAAACUGUCAAACUAGAGUGCAGGAGAGGUAAGUGGAAUUCCUAGUGUAGCGGUGAAAUGCGUAGAUAUUAGGAGGAACACCAGUGGCGAAGGCGGCUUACUGGACGAUAACUGACGUUGAGGCUCGAAAGCGUGGGGAGCAAACAGGAUUAGAUACCCUGGUA
This 434-nucleotide ribosomal RNA is filed under the name uncultured Lachnospiraceae bacterium. RNAcentral's name for it is "partial 16S ribosomal RNA". It matches the Rfam family "Bacterial small subunit ribosomal RNA", at positions 341 to 792 of the family's 1533-position model. The record is from RNAcentral. Lineage: Bacteria; Bacillati; Bacillota; Clostridia; Lachnospirales; Lachnospiraceae.